Humulus lupulus (European hop) is the source of this 1190-nucleotide long non-coding RNA. RefSeq lists it as uncharacterized. The transcript is spliced from 3 exons. The record is from RefSeq and is a predicted model, not a curated record. Lineage: Eukaryota; Viridiplantae; Streptophyta; Magnoliopsida; Rosales; Cannabaceae.
AAGAAGCGCCUAAUGAAAAUUUUGUCUAACCCAUUUGCCUCCUCUGCCCCUCUCUUUCAGACUCCACUAUCUUUCCUUCUCUCACUCUCUCUCACACUAUGUCUCUAAUCCAUUCAGCCGCUGGAUCACCACGAUCUGUACGAUUCUUGAUGCUCCUUCUCCCUCACGCGAUUUUUGCUGCUCAGUCUCCCCCUUCUCCCUCAUGCAAGUCUUGCUGCUCCUUCUCCUUCACGGCAUUUCUCCUGCUGGAAGCAAAAACCCAGGCAAGAGCACUCUAACCUCGUUUGUCUAUGUGAGGUAUUUUUUUAAUUUAAGAUUGCAAUUUAAUAUCAGAUAAUCACUGAUUCGAAAGCUCGCUUGUAAUGACGCUAUCGAAAUCGGACCUCCCAGCGAUAUACUCGUUCUUGACCGAUUCAUUGAGUGGCGACGAAAUCGUCCGCAAGCCAGCAGAGGAGGCUCUCUCUCAGUGCGAGGCUAGGCCCAGCUUUUGCUCUUGUCUCAUGUGUGGUAUUGCUGCCAACGGUCAAAAACCAAAACCCUAACUCGGUGUUGGUGAUUGCGUUUUGAGCCACGAACGAGGGGAGGUACUAUACAGUGGAUUGCGGAAACCCUAUUAUUUGGGGGAACCGAAGCUUUUCGAAUUGAAGUUUUACGCAAUGGGAGCUGUUAAGUUGGAACUUCGUUGUCCCCAAACUGUUGAGGGAAUUGCUGCCGACCCUGGACCUGAUUGGAGCUUCAAUGCUCUUUUAACAGAGCUUAAUGCAUUGGAAACAAAACUUAGUAGCUCUUCCAAAGUCCCUUUUAACAGAGCUUAAUGCAUUGGAAACAAAAACAGAGAAUAUGUCUCUUUUCUCACAUACACUAUACAUGUAUAGAUAUGAUAUGAGAUAUGGUUCUUCAUAUCAAGGGACUAGAAAUGUUGUGCAUGCAUUGUUACUAAAAUACACUUUUUGACGGAAGUGUGUAGAAUUUUAUUCUGUUGAGUAUAUAGAAAUCAUGUGGGGAGUUCUUAUAUUGUUCACUAGUCAUUUCAUUAAAUGGUUUAUGUAUAAAACUGCAUCCUAAGAAGCAACUAGAAUGAGGGGUAAAGUGGUAAAAUAAUAGAAUAUAGGUAAUAGAGGGGUAUGUGGGUAACUGUAGUAUGUAGGGCAAAAUAGAAAUAUUGUAUUACACUUGUUUCAAAAAGUUCU